Molecule: long non-coding RNA, 1180 nt
Organism: Numida meleagris (helmeted guineafowl)
Lineage: Eukaryota; Metazoa; Chordata; Aves; Galliformes; Numididae
Exons: 3
Source: RefSeq, a predicted model, not a curated record
AAAAGCUUGGAAAUGGGAAGGAGAAGAGAGGGCUCUUGCUGUGAAGAUAUCUGUGUACUCAGCCCUGCUUCCCAAGCUGUGACCAGACAUCGCUUGCUGAUAAGAAGAUGCUGGCUCUUCUUACGACCAGGGCCAUUGUGUCAAAGCACUCAUGAUCUUGCUGUAAGCUACCCACUACUCCAUACAGAGAGAACUGAAGACAAAUUCCUGCCAUAAGGCUCACCAGCGUGGAGCUCUCUGUUCACGUGGGCUCACAGAAGCAGCAGAGGCAGUCUGCACAAACCUGAAAACCUUGAUUUGCUAUCUGGUUGCUGUGUCACAAGAAUGAAGGACGGAGAGCACCAGCUUGUUAAAUCCUGAGUCUUUUAAAGCUGCAUGCACACCUUACAACAGGAGAUUCAAACAUCCUUGAACUACUCGAUGACAUACUGUAAGAAGUAAACAAUCAUCUGGGAGUACACUCAGUACUUUAUGCUUUUACUGUUCUUAUGAAACAUGUGAAACUUCAGUUCUGAUCCCAUCCAGCCUUUCCCUAUACAAAACAAAAGCUGGUCUCUGCCCAUAGGUUUGCAUAAUCUUGACAUGAGAUUACACAGAUAGAAGGUGAUGCAAAAAUUAUGACAGACAGAACAAUGGACAGAAAAAUAAUCACCCUAAAAAUAUACAUCCACUCUAAAGUGCGGUAGACAAAGCCCUCAAAAUUGUCCCUUUCUCUCUAGAGAUUAUGAAAGGGAUAUGGAGAUUUCUGAUUCAGUCAUCCACUUUACAGGCAUCUAAAAUUAGAGGAAUUGAAUCUCAAAGAGUCAGAAUAGCAAAUUGUUGUCAGUUUUCUCUGGGAAUUACAAACCCAAGACCCGGUUGUAUAAAGGAGAGCAAAGGAUUGCUUUUGUGCAUAUUUGUAUGGAGAUGAUCUCAUUCAUGGGAUCAUGCUGCCUGGAAGGAAGUACCAAUGUGCUCUUUGAGAGUUUACCACAUGGGUAAUGGAAACUGAUGUUGUGAAUGGAUCUAAGACAGAUAUUUUAGAAAAGCUGUUGCAAAUAUAUUGGCUAGUGUUGUCAAAUGAAAGCCUAUAAGAUUUUAUGCAGAAAAUGUACACUUUUGGAAUAAUACAGCACUUUUCAUAACAGCAUUUCUUGCCAAUAGAAGAAAAUCUGCAUUAUUUCUACACAAUAAAUACAAA